UACCAGCUCCUCGAGUGGUUGGGACGAUUAUUGGGUCUAAAGCGUCCGUAGCCGGCUGGAAAAGUUCUCCGUAAAAUCCAACGAUCCAAUCGUUGGAUCGCGGGGAAUACUUUCCGGCUUGGGGGCGGGGGAGGUCGGCGGUAGUCCCGGGGUAGGGGCGAAAGAGGAAACGAAGAGUUUCCAUUCGCAGUCUUAUAAUCCCGGGAGGACCACCAGUGGCGAAGGCGGCCGACUAAAACGCGCCCGACGGUGAGGGACGAAAGCUGGGGGAGCGAACGGG
RNAcentral lists this ribosomal RNA (280 nucleotides) under uncultured bacterium. Its description in RNAcentral is "partial 16S ribosomal RNA". It matches the Rfam family "Archaeal small subunit ribosomal RNA", at positions 474 to 727 of the family's 1478-position model. The record is from RNAcentral.